Molecule: transfer-messenger RNA, 338 nt
Filed under: bovine gut metagenome
Rfam family: transfer-messenger RNA
About the family: Bacterial tmRNA, also known as 10Sa RNA or SsrA, is named for its dual tRNA and mRNA-like properties.
Source: RNAcentral
GUAAAGGUUUCGACGGGGGUUCUGAAGUCGGGGAAGCCAUCCGCGGGCUGGACCGCGUUAUCAACCGGAACUUAAAAUUAAACGCUGACAACAAUACUGUUGCAGUAGCGGCCUGAUGCCGCUCGUCACCCGGGUGCACCCGCACGUCCGGUCACUGGCGUCAUUUAUGCGGGAAACGAUGCAGGCUAAGCUUUGCCCCUGCAGGCGUAUGAUGAAGCUACCGAAGCAGUGAGGCUGCUGUCCGCCGCUCUGCCGAGGGAAUGUUAAUAGAACAGCUGUGAUGGGAGAUGCCCUUAUGGACGGGCUUUCGGACGCGGGUUCGAUUCCCGCCUGGUCCA